ACGUUAGCGGCGGACGGGUGAGUAACACGUGGGUAACCUACCUAUAGGACUGGGAUAACUUCGGGAAACCGGAGCUAAUACCGGAUAAUAUUUCGAACCGCAUGGUUCGAUAGUGAAAGAUGGUUUUGCUAUCACUUAUAGAUGGACCCGCGCCGUAUUAGCUAGUUGGUAAGGUAACGGCUUACCAAGGCGACGAUACGUAGCCGACCUGAGAGGGUGAUCGGCCACACUGGAACUGAGACACGGUCCAGACUCCUACGGGAGGCAGCAGUG
RNAcentral lists this ribosomal RNA (273 nucleotides) under uncultured Staphylococcus sp. RNAcentral describes it as "partial 16S ribosomal RNA". It matches the Rfam family "Bacterial small subunit ribosomal RNA", at positions 89 to 356 of the family's 1533-position model. The record is from RNAcentral. Lineage: Bacteria; Bacillati; Bacillota; Bacilli; Caryophanales; Staphylococcaceae.